RNAcentral lists this ribosomal RNA (469 nucleotides) under uncultured Phycisphaeraceae bacterium. RNAcentral describes it as "bacterial SSU rRNA". It matches the Rfam family "Bacterial small subunit ribosomal RNA", at positions 8 to 523 of the family's 1533-position model. The record is from RNAcentral. Lineage: Bacteria; Pseudomonadati; Planctomycetota; Phycisphaerae; Phycisphaerales; Phycisphaeraceae.
AGAGUUUGAUUCUGGCUCAGAUUGAACGCUGGCGGCAUGGCUAAAACAUGCAAGUCGAGCGGGAUCGCAAGAUCUAGUGGCGGAAGGGUGAGUAAUGGUAUCGAACGUGCCCCGAGGUGGGGGAUAGGCAUGGGAAACUGUGCGUAAUACCCCAUGAUUUCCAAGGAACAAAGCUUCGGCGCCUUGGGAGCGGCGAUACUCCUAUCAGGUAGUUGGCGGGGUAAUGUCCCACCAAGCCGAAGACGGGUAGCCGGUAUGAGAGUACGGCCGGCCACAUCGGGACUGAGACACUGCCCGGACUCCUACGGGAGGCUGCAGUAACGAAUAUUCCACAAUGCACGAAAGUGUGAUGGAGCAAUGCCGCGUGCGGGAUGAAGCAUCUUUGGUGUGUAAACCGCUGUCAGGAGAUAGAAAUACUGAUCAUCUCCAGAGGAAGUGGCGACUAACUUUGUGCCAGCCGCCGCGGUAA